UGAGGAAUAUUGGGCAAUGCCCGCAAGGGUGACCCAGCAACGCCGCGUGGAGGAUGAAUGUCGUAAGAUUGUAAACUCCUGUUAGAGGGGAAGAAUAGUACCGGUUGGACCGGUAUAUGACUGUACCCUUAGAGAAAGCCCCGGCUCACUACGUGCCAGCAGCCGCGGUAAUACGUAGGGGGCAAGCGUUGUCCGGAUUUACUGGGUGUAAAGGGCGCGCAGGCGGGAUAAAAAGUCAGUGGUGAAAUCCUACAGCUUAACUGUAGAACUGCCUUUGAUACUUUUAUUCUUGAGUUCGGGAGAGAGAGACGGAAUUCCAGGUGUAGUGGUGAAAUACGUAGAUAUCUGGAAGAACACCAGUUGCGAAGGCGGUCUCUUGGUCCGACACUGACGCUGAGGCGCGAAAGCGUGGGGAGCAAACA
This 422-nucleotide ribosomal RNA is filed under the name uncultured bacterium. Its description in RNAcentral is "bacterial SSU rRNA". It matches the Rfam family "Bacterial small subunit ribosomal RNA", at positions 355 to 774 of the family's 1533-position model. The record is from RNAcentral.